This 3117-nucleotide ribosomal RNA is filed under the name Salmonella enterica subsp. enterica serovar Typhimurium. Its description in RNAcentral is "bacterial LSU rRNA". It matches the Rfam family "Bacterial large subunit ribosomal RNA". The record is from RNAcentral. Lineage: Bacteria; Pseudomonadati; Pseudomonadota; Gammaproteobacteria; Enterobacterales; Enterobacteriaceae.
UUAAGCGACUAAGCGUACACGGUGGAUGCCCUGGCAGUCAGAGGCGAUGAAGGGCGUGCUAAUCUGCGAUAAGCGCCGGUAAGGUGAUAUGAACCGUUAUAACCGGCGAUACCCGAAUGGGGAAACCCAGUGUGAUUCGUCACACUAUCAUUAACUGAAUCCAUAGGUUAAUGAGGCGAACCGGGGGAACUGAAACAUCUAAGUACCCCGAGGAAAAGAAAUCAACCGAGAUUCCCCCAGUAGCGGCGAGCGAACGGGGAGGAGCCCAGAGCCUGAAUCAGCAUGUGUGUUAGUGGAAGCGUCUGGAAAGGCGCGCGAUACAGGGUGACAGCCCCGUACACAAAAGCGCAUGUGCUGUGAGCUCGAUGAGUAGGGCGGGACACGUGGUAUCCUGUCUGAAUAUGGGGGGACCAUCCUCCAAGGCUAAAUACUCCUGACUGACCGAUAGUGAACCAGUACCGUGAGGGAAAGGCGAAAAGAACCCCGGCGAGGGGAGUGAAAAAGAACCUGAAACCGUGUACGUACAAGCAGUGGGAGCACCCUUCGGGGUGUGACUGCGUACCUUUUGUAUAAUGGGUCAGCGACUUAUANNNNNNNNNNAUCCUUUGCUGAGGAUACGGUUAACGGAGCGAAAGCGACGUUCAACCGCAAAACAAGCAGAGGGGGCUUAGUGGUGGGGUGACUGCGUACCUUUUGUAUAAUGGGUCAGCGACUUAUAUUCUGUAGCAAGGUUAACCGUAUAGGGGAGCCGGAGGGAAACCGAGUCUUAACCGGGCGUUAAGUUGCAGGGUAUAGACCCGAAACCCGGUGAUCUAGCCAUGGGCAGGUUGAAGGUUGGGUAACACUAACUGGAGGACCGAACCGACUAAUGUUGAAAAAUUAGCGGAUGACCUGUGGCUGGGGGUGAAAGGCCAAUCAAACCGGGAGAUAGCUGGUUCUCCCCGAAAGCUAUUUAGGUAGCGCCUCGUGAAUUCAUCUCCGGGGGUAGAGCACUGUUUCGGCUAGGGGGCCAUCCCGGCUUACCAACCCGAUGCAAACUGCGAAUACCGGAGAAUGUUAUCACGGGAGACACACGGCGGGUGCUAACGUCCGUCGUGAAGAGGGAAACAACCCAGACCGCCAGCUAAGGUCCCAAAGUCAUGGUUAAGUGGGAAACGAUGUGGGAAGGCCCAGACAGCCAGGAUGUUGGCUUAGAAGCAGCCAUCAUUUAAAGAAAGCGUAAUAGCUCACUGGUCGAGUCGGCCUGCGCGGAAGAUGUAACGGGGCUAAACCAUGCACCGAAGCUGCGGCAGCGAACGUAUCACCCAAGACAACUUUACGGAGUUGACGAUUGACGGAGCGAAGCGACGUCAAAGCGUUCAUUAAAGUCGAGUUGGCUUAGGGAUACGUUCGUUGGGUAGGGGAGCGUUCUGUAAGCCUGUGAAGGUGUGUCGUGAGGCAUGCUGGAGGUAUCAGAAGUGCGAAUGCUGACAUAAGUAACGAUAAAGCGGGUGAAAAGCCCGCUCGCCGGAAGACCAAGGGUUCCUGUCCAACGUUAAUCGGGGCAGGGUGAGUCGACCCCUAAGGCGAGGCCGAAAGGCGUAGUCGAUGGGAAACGGGUUAAUAUUCCCGUACUUGGUGUUACUGCGAAGGGGGGACGGAGAAGGCUAUGUUGGCCGGGCGACGGUUGUCCCGGUUUAAGCGUGUAGGUGUGUGUUCCAGGUAAAUCCGGUUCACUUUAACACUGAGGCGUGACGACGAGGCACUACGGUGCUGAAGCAACAAAUGCCCUGCUUCCAGGAAAAGCCUCUAAGCAUCAGGUAACAUCAAAUCGUACCCCAAACCGACACAGGUGGUCAGGUAGAGAAUACCAAGGCGCUUGAGAGAACUCGGGUGAAGGAACUAGGCAAAAUGGUGCCGUAACUUCGGGAGAAGGCACGCUGACACGUAGGUGAAGUGAUUUACUCAUGGAGCUGAAGUCAGUCGAAGAUACCAGCUGGCUGCAACUGUUUAUUAAAAACACAGCACUGUGCAAACACGAAAGUGGACGUAUACGGUGUGACGCCUGCCCGGUGCCGGAAGGUUAAUUGAUGGGGUCAGCGCAAGCGAAGCUCCUGAUCGAAGCCCCGGUAAACGGCGGCCGUAACUAUAACGGUCCUAAGGUAGCGAAAUUCCUUGUCGGGUAAGUUCCGACCUGCACGAAUGGCGUAAUGAUGGCCAGGCUGUCUCCACCCGAGACUCAGUGAAAUUGAACUCGCUGUGAAGAUGCAGUGUACCCGCGGCAAGACGGAAAGACCCCGUGAACCUUUACUAUAGCUUGACACUGAACAUUGAGCCUUGAUGUGUAGGAUAGGUGGGAGGCUUUGAAGUGUGGACGCCAGUCUGCAUGGAGCCGACCUUGAAAUACCACCCUUUAAUGUUUGAUGUUCUAACGUGGACCCGUAAUCCGGGUUGCGGACAGUGUCUGGUGGGUAGUUUGACUGGGGCGGUCUCCUCCUAAAGAGUAACGGAGGAGCACGAAGGUUGGCUAAUCCUGGUCGGACAUCAGGAGGUUAGUGCAAUGGCAUAAGCCAGCUUGACUGCGAGCGUGACGGCGCGAGCAGGUGCGAAAGCAGGUCAUAGUGAUCCGGUGGUUCUGAAUGGAAGGGCCAUCGCUCAACGGAUAAAAGGUACUCCGGGGAUAACAGGCUGAUACCGCCCAAGAGGUUCAUAUCGACGGCGGUGUUUGGCACCUCGAUGUCGGCUCAUCACAUCCUGGGGCUGAAGUAGGUCCCAAGGGUAUGGCUGUUCGCCAUUUAAAGUGGUACGCGAGCUGGGUUUAGAACGUCGUGAGACAGUUCGGUCCCUAUCUGCCGUGGGCGCUGGAGAACUGAGGGGGGCUGCUCCUAGUACGAGAGGACCGGAGUGGACGCAUCACUGGUGUUCGGGUUGUCAUGCCAAUGGCACUGCCCGGUAGCUAAAUGCGGAAGAGAUAAGUGCUGAAAGCAUCUAAGCACGAAACUUGCCCCGAGAUGAGUUCUCCCUGAGACUUAGAGUCUCCUGAAGGAACGUUGAAGACGACGACGUUGAUAGGCCGGGUGUGUAAGCGCAGCGAUGCGUUGAGCUAACCGGUACUAAUGAACCGUGAGGCUUAACCUU